Mirounga angustirostris (Northern elephant seal) is the source of this 1689-nucleotide long non-coding RNA. RefSeq lists it as uncharacterized. NCBI's taxonomy places the organism in Eukaryota, Metazoa, Chordata, Mammalia, Carnivora, Phocidae. The record is from RefSeq and is a predicted model, not a curated record. The transcript has 6 exons.
GCUUCCUGGGAACAGGGGCUCGGCGAGGCGGUGUGCGCGGUGACUCAGCGCCGAGGUCUCCUCCGCGCCCGGUCUCCGGGCUUCGCCCGCUGUGCCCUCCUUGGGCCGCAGCCGUCCUGUGCGCUGUUCGGCCGCUGGAAGCCCUGAGUGUCUCGAAAGUUUUGAUUUGGCACCGGGAAGGGCUUUGAAGUUGCUCAGAGUUACGGGGAGAGACCACCGGUUUCCGGAGGCCUUUGGGGGACGUGAAGAACGUCAGAGAGAUUGGUGUUGGCAGUUACCAGGUUGCGGUUUGCACCUGCGGCCAGCCCGGGGACUGAGAUUUGAAAAGAUUGUCCCACCUCCCUUACCCCGCCAGAAACUCAGAGCAUUUGGUAUCCAAACUGCCCUUUCCUCCUGUCCUUGAGGAUUAGAAACCCAGUCCUCCCUUGGCACUUUGCACUACCUCUGUCUGGAUAAGGAAACUGACUAGUGAAACAACUUGAGGAAUGGAGAUGUAAACAGCUAAGCUGCCACCUGCCUCUCUGGGACCGUAUCUUGUGUAUGGUACUUCCUCUGUGGAUGUUUGUGCAAUGGUUGGAUGAAUGAAUGAAUGAGGAGCAAACACACAUAGGAUUAGAUGGUGCAUCUCCCUGAAGAUCCUUAGUGUGCCUGUUCUCCAUGGGACCGGAGGCUCUCUGCAAAGGCCAUCCUGGUACACUUCUCACCCAGAAUAAAGCCUGCUGCUGCACUAUUUGGGUUCGUGUUGACCCUUGCUCUUCGGAGACUUUUCCUUGUGCUGUGGCCUGUGUCCCUGGACUUGGGCAUGUCGAAUGUGCUGUUUCAGCCCGCCCUGAAACUCUCAAGUCACCAGCUGCUAAGGCCAGCUGGGAGGAGCCUAGCCCGUCUCCGCCGAGUUCUCGUGUAGGCCCAAAGACUAGAUCCAACGUCGAAGGAUGUGGUUUUUUGGCUUCCAAAUCAGGUAACUCUGGGUAAGUCACUUCAGCUCUCUAUGCCUCCGUAUCCUCAUGUGUAAACGGGAGGUAAUAACAUACUCCUCCCACCUCCUAGGGCUCCUGGGAGGAUCAGCCGAGACUGUGAAUGUGACAACGCCUUGUAAACUGUAAAGGCGCAGUGCUGUUUCAACAACAGGGCCGUUUUUUGCAUCCAACUAUGACAACACAGUUGGCUCAUUCAUUGUCAUCAGUGAUGUCAAUCAUCUGGGAAUGGCUUAGGUCAGAAAUCCGCUGGAGAAGCCAGGCUACUCCCCGGGUGGGAAUCUUCUCCUCCUUGUGUUCGUGAAGCUAGAACACUGAGUACCGGCCCUGCUUGCAACAGAAGGUCAUCAACAUUUUCUGAUGACCCAGUGAAUGUCUGCUAAAAAUUGUGUGAUUCUGGGGCGCUGGGCUGGCUCAGUCAGAAGACCACGCGACUCCUGAUCUUGGGAUCGUGAGUUUGACCCCACGCUGGGUGUAGAGAUAACUAAAAAAAUAAGCUUAAAAAAAUUUAAAAACUGUGUGAUUCUCACACAUGCUGCAACAUGGAUGAACCUUGAAGACGUUAUGUAAAGUGAAGUGAUUCACACAUAGAAAGACAAAUAUUGUGUGAUUUCACUUAUAUGAGGUCCCUGGAGCAGUCAACAUCAUGGAGACAGACUGUAGAAUGGUGUCUACCAGGGGCUGGGGGGGGGACACGGGGAGUUUGUGUUUAAUG